Molecule: ribosomal RNA, 307 nt
Filed under: uncultured eukaryote
Lineage: Eukaryota
Description: partial 18S ribosomal RNA
Rfam family: Eukaryotic small subunit ribosomal RNA
Source: RNAcentral
CCCUUAGACGUUCUGGGCCGCACGCGCGCUACACUGACCAGUGCAACAAGCAUCCGUCCUUGGCCGACAGGCCCGGGCAAUCUUUGAACGCUGGUCGUGAUGGGGAUAGACUUUUGCAAUUUUUGGUCUUCAACGAGGAAUUCCUAGUAAACGCAAGUCAUCAACUUGCAUUGAUUACGUCCCUGCCCUUUGUACACACCGCCCGUCGCUACUACCGAUUGAAUGCUUGUAUGAGGCCUUUGGAUUGGCACCCUGUGCUGAGAAAAUGAACAAAUACCAGCAUUUAGAGGAAGUAAAAGUCGUAACA